RNAcentral lists this ribosomal RNA (444 nucleotides) under Porphyromonas sp. oral taxon 279. RNAcentral describes it as "bacterial SSU rRNA". It matches the Rfam family "Bacterial small subunit ribosomal RNA", at positions 28 to 462 of the family's 1533-position model. Lineage: Bacteria; Pseudomonadati; Bacteroidota; Bacteroidia; Bacteroidales; Porphyromonadaceae. The record is from RNAcentral.
GACGAACGCUAGCGAUAGGCUUAACACAUGCAAGUCGAGGGGCAGCAUGGUCUUAGCUUGCUAAGACUGAUGGCGACCGGCGCACGGGUGCGUAACGCGUAUGCAACUUGCCUCACAGAGGGGGAUAACCCGUCGAAAGACGGACUAAUACCGCGUACACUCUAUGUUGGGCAUCCAAUGUAGAGGAAAUGAAAUUCGCUGUGAGAUAGGCAUGCGUCCCAUUAGCUAGUUGGUGAGGUAACGGCUCACCAAGGCGACGAUGGGUAGGGGAACUGAGAGGUUGAACCCCCACACUGGUACUGAGACACGGACCAGACUCCUACGGGAGGCAGCAGUGAGGAAUAUUGGUCAAUGGGCGAGAGCCUGAACCAGCCAAGUCGCGUGAAGGAUGACUGUCUUAUGGAUUGUAAACUUCUUUUAUACGGGAAUAACAAGAGUCACGUG